AACGUAGGUGGCAAGCGUUAUCCGGAAUUACUGGGCGUAAAGGGUGUGCAGGCGGGGAAGCAAGUGGGGUAUGAAAUAUCCCAGCUUAACUGGGAGGGGUUAUGCCAGACUGCUUUUCUAGAGGACGAGAGAGGGGGGUGGAAUUCCGGGUGUAGUGGUGAAAUGCGUAGAGAUCCGGAGGAACCCCAGAGGCGAAGGCGGCCCCCUGGCUCGUACCUGACGCUCAGCCACGAAAGCAUGGGGAGCGAACGGG
This 253-nucleotide ribosomal RNA is filed under the name uncultured bacterium. Its description in RNAcentral is "partial 16S ribosomal RNA". It matches the Rfam family "Bacterial small subunit ribosomal RNA", at positions 524 to 776 of the family's 1533-position model. The record is from RNAcentral.